ACCUACGGGGCGCAGCAGUAGGGAAUUUUCGGCAAUGGGGGGAACCCUGACCGAGCAACGCCGCGUGAACGAAGAAGUUAUUCGUAAUGUAAAGUUCUUUUAUCAGGGAAGAAAGAGGAAUUUGACGGUACCUGAGGAAUAAGCUCCGGCUAACUACGUGCCAGCAGCUGCGGUAAUACGUAGGGGGCAAGCGUUAUCCGGAUUUACUGGGUGUAAAGGGAGCGUAGACGGCCAGACAAGUCAGAAGUGAAAGCCCAGGGCUCAACCCUGGGACUGCUUUUGAAACUGCCGGGCUGGAGUGCAGG
RNAcentral lists this ribosomal RNA (305 nucleotides) under uncultured bacterium. RNAcentral's name for it is "bacterial SSU rRNA". It matches the Rfam family "Bacterial small subunit ribosomal RNA", at positions 337 to 652 of the family's 1533-position model. The record is from RNAcentral.